UAGUAACGGCGAGUGAAGCGGGAACAGCUCAAAUUUGAAAUCUGGCCUUCGGGUCCGAAUUGUAAUUUGUAAAGGAUGCUUUUGGUUAGGUACUUUCCGAGUUCCCUGGAACGGGACGCCUUAAAGGGUGAAAGCCCCGUACGGUUGGAUACCGAGCCUCUGUAAAGCUCCUUCGACGAGUCGAGUAGUUUGGGAAUGCUGCUCUAAAUGGGAGGUAAAUUUCUUCUAAAGCUAAAUACCGGCCAGAGACCGAUAGCGCACAAGUAGAGUGAUCGAAAGAUGAAAAGCACUUUGAAAAGAGGGUUAAAUAGCACGUGAAAUUGUUGAAAGGGAAGCGUUUAUGACCAGACUUUUUCCAGGCGGAUCAUCCGGUGUUCUCACCGGUGCACUUCGUCUGGUGGAGGCCAGCAUCGGUUUCCGUAGCGGGAUAAAAGCGGUAGGAAUGUGACUCCCCCGGGAGUGUUAUAGCCUGCCGUAUAAUACCGCUAUAGGGACCGAGGUUCGCGCUCUGCAAGGAUGCUGGCGUAAUGGUCAUCAACGACCCGUCUUGAAACACGGACCAAGGAGUCGAACAUUUGUGCGAGUGUUUGGGUGUUAAACCCUCACGCGUAAUGAAAGUGAACGGAGGUGAGAGCCCUUACGGGUGCAUCAUCGACCGAUCCUGAUGUUUUCGGAUGGAUUUGAGUAAGAGCAUAACUGUUCGGACCCGAAAGAUGGUGAACUAUGCGUGGAUAGGGUGAAGCCAGAGGAAACUCUGGUGGAGGCUCGCAGCGGUUCUGACGUGCAAAUCGAUCGUCAAAUCUGCGCAUGGGGGCGAAAGACUAAUCGAACCAUCUAGUAGCUGGUACGCA
Molecule: ribosomal RNA, 851 nt
Filed under: Hemibeltrania cinnamomi
Lineage: Eukaryota; Fungi; Ascomycota; Sordariomycetes; Xylariales
Description: eukaryotic LSU rRNA
Rfam family: Eukaryotic large subunit ribosomal RNA
Source: RNAcentral